AACCUUAUGGACCUGCGGGCGUAUACCUGCGGAAGGAUCAUUAUCAAAAGUCGGUCGGGAGCCCUUGUGGCUGCCGUCUACACCCAAGUCUUUUGUGUACUCUUUGUUUCCUCGGCGGCGUAAGUCGCCGAAUGGACAAAUCAAAACCUUUUUGUAAUUGCAAUCAGCGUCAUUAAAUAUAAUAAUAUUUACAACUUUUAACAAUGGAUCU
This 211-nucleotide unclassified non-coding RNA is filed under the name soil metagenome. RNAcentral's name for it is "partial contains 5.8S ribosomal RNA, internal transcribed spacer 2, and large subunit ribosomal RNA". The record is from RNAcentral.